This 77-nucleotide transfer RNA is filed under the name Bradyrhizobium sp. RNAcentral's name for it is "tRNA-Arg". It matches the Rfam family "tRNA". From Rfam's summary of the family: Transfer RNA (tRNA) molecules are approximately 80 nucleotides in length. Their secondary structure includes four short double-helical elements and three loops (D, anti-codon, and T loops). The record is from RNAcentral. Lineage: Bacteria; Pseudomonadati; Pseudomonadota; Alphaproteobacteria; Hyphomicrobiales; Nitrobacteraceae.
GCACUCGUAGCUCAGCUGGAUAGAGCAUCGGAUUUCGAUUCCGAGGGUCGGGAGUUCGAAUCUCUCCGAGCGCGCCA